This 397-nucleotide ribosomal RNA is filed under the name uncultured bacterium. RNAcentral's name for it is "partial 16S ribosomal RNA". It matches the Rfam family "Bacterial small subunit ribosomal RNA", at positions 523 to 918 of the family's 1533-position model. The record is from RNAcentral.
AUACGUAGGGGGCGAGCGUUGUCCGGAAUGAUUGGGCGUAAAGGGCGCGUAGGCGGCCCGGUAAGUCUGGAGUGAAAGUCCUGUUUUUAAGAUGGGAAUUGCUUUGGAUACUGUCGGGCUUGAGUGCAGGAGAGGUAAGUGGAAUUCCCAGUGUAGCGGUGAAAUGCGUAGAGAUUGGGAGGAACACCAGUGGCGAAGGCGACUUACUGGACUGUAACUGACUCUGAGGCGCGAAAGUGUGGGGAGCAAACAGGAUUAGAUACCCUGGUAGUCCACACUGUAAACGAUGAAUGCUAGGUGUAGGGGGUAUCGACCCCUUCUGUGCCGCAGUCAACACAAUAAGCAUUCCGCCUGGGGAGUACGGCCGCAAGGUUGAAACUCAAAGGAAUUGACGGGG